This 748-nucleotide ribosomal RNA is filed under the name Gaeumannomyces graminis. Its description in RNAcentral is "partial 28S ribosomal RNA". It matches the Rfam family "Eukaryotic large subunit ribosomal RNA", at positions 76 to 854 of the family's 3401-position model. The record is from RNAcentral. Lineage: Eukaryota; Fungi; Ascomycota; Sordariomycetes; Magnaporthales; Magnaporthaceae.
UGCCCUAGUAACGGCGAGUGAAGCGGCAACGGCUCAAAUUUGAAAUCUGGCCCUAGGCCCGAGUUGUAAUUUGCAGAGGAUGCUUUUGGCAAAGCGCUUACCGAGUCCCCUGGAACGGGGCGCCACAGAGGGUGAGAGCCCCGUAUGGUAUGACGCCGAGCCUCUGUAAAGCUCCUUCGACGAGUCGAGUAGUUUGGGAAUGCUGCUCUAAAUGGGAGGUAAAUUUCUUCUAAAGCUAAAUACCGGCCAGAGACCGAUAGCGCACAAGUAGAGUGAUCGAAAGAUGAAAAGCACUUUGAAAAGAGGGUUAAAUAGCACGUGAAAUUGUUGAAAGGGAAGCGCUCGUGACCAGACUUGCGCCGGGCGGAUCAUCCAGCGUUCUCGCUGGUGCACUCCGCCCGGCUCAGGCCAGCAUCGGUUUUCGCCGGGGGACAAAAGCUUCGGGAACGUGGCUCCCUUCGGGGAGUGUUAUAGCCCGUUGUUUAAUACCCCGGCGGGGACCGAGGACCGCGCUUCGGCAAGGAUGCUGGCGUAAUGGUCAUCAGCGACCCGUCUUGAAACACGGACCGAGGAGUCAAGCAUUAGUGCGAGUGUUUGGGUGUAAAACCCGCACGCGUAAUGAAAGUGAACGUAGGUGAGAGCUUCGGCGCAUCAUCGACCGAUCCUGAUGUUUUCGGAUGGAUUUGAGUAGGAGCAUUAACGCUUGGACCCGAAAGAUGGUGAACUAUACUUGAAUAGGGUGAAGCCA